This 253-nucleotide ribosomal RNA is filed under the name uncultured bacterium. RNAcentral's name for it is "partial 16S ribosomal RNA". It matches the Rfam family "Bacterial small subunit ribosomal RNA", at positions 524 to 776 of the family's 1533-position model. The record is from RNAcentral.
UACGGAGGGGGCUAGCGUUGUUCGGAAUUACUGGGCGUAAAGCGCACGUAGGCGGCUUUGUAAGUUAGAGGUGAAAGCCCAGGGCUUAACCCUGGAAUUGCCUUUAAGACUGCAUCGCUAGAAUCGUGGAGAGGUGAGUGGAAUUCCGAGUGUAGAGGUGAAAUUCGUAGAUAUUGGGAAGAACACCGGUGGCGAAGGCGGCUCACUGGCCCGUUUCUGACGCUCAGGCGCGACAGCGUGGGGAUCAAACAGG